GAUGAACGCUGGCGGCGUGCUUAACACAUGCAAGUCGAACGGUGAAGCAGGAGCUUGCUCUUGUGGAUCAGUGGCGAACGGGUGAGUAACACAUGAGCAACCUGCCCCUGACUCUGGGAUAAGCGCUGGAAACGGCGUCUAAUACUGGAUAUGUGAUGUGACCGCAUGGUCUGCAUCUGGAAAGAAUUUCGGUUGGGGAUGGGCUCGCGGCCUAUCAGCUUGUUGGUGAGGUAAUGGCUCACCAAGGCGUCGACGGGUAGCCGGCCUGAGAGGGUGACCGGCCACACUGGGACUGAGACACGGCCCAGACUCCUACGGGAGGCAGCAGUGGGGAAUAUUGCACAAUGAGCGGAAGCCUGAUGCAGCAACGCCGCGUGAGGGAUGACGGCCUUCGGGUUGUAAACCUCUUUUAGCAGGGAAGAAGCGAAAGUGACGGUACCUGCAGAAAAAGCACCGGCUAACUACGUGCCAGCCGCCGCAGUAA
RNAcentral lists this ribosomal RNA (484 nucleotides) under uncultured bacterium. RNAcentral's name for it is "partial 16S ribosomal RNA". It matches the Rfam family "Bacterial small subunit ribosomal RNA", at positions 28 to 523 of the family's 1533-position model. The record is from RNAcentral.